GUAGGUGAACCUGCGGAAGGAUCAUUAUUGAAUACUGAAUCGGUUCUGAUGCUGGCUCUUUACUGGGCAUGUGCUCGUCCGUUCAUAUUUACCUUCUCUUGUGCACAUUUUGUAGUCCUUUGGAACAAGUGAAUUUCGCGCUGCUGUGAUUGACUUCGCGGUGGUUGCGGUUUGGGGGAUUGGGGGUAACAGCCCUUCCUCUGUUUAUGCGCGUUGCUGCGAUUUACUUCGUGGUGACUGCGGUUUGGGGGUUGAGCGUCAGCCCUUCCCCUGCUUUUGCUUUUUUCAAGGCUACGUUUUCAUAUACCCUAUACAAUGUUACAGAAUGUCUUUAAAGAUUGUGCUUGGUCGCAGUCAUUAAACCUAUACAACUUUCAGCAACGGAUCUCUUGGCUCUC
This 398-nucleotide unclassified non-coding RNA is filed under the name rhizosphere metagenome. RNAcentral describes it as "partial ribosomal RNA internal transcribed spacer region". The record is from RNAcentral.